AUAAUCACUUGCCUUUUAAUUGGAGGCUAGAAUGAAAGUACCGACGGGAAAGAACUGACUCAGCUCUACCUUAUGAACCUUAAAUUGGGAGUAAAAAUGCCCCAUUGAUUUAGAAGGACGACAAGACCCUAUAAAACUUUACCACCUUGCACUGACCUAAAAUAGGAAUAUUUUAAGGGCUUAGUGGUUAGCUGGGGCGGCCAACCCCCUCCGGGGGGUAAUUUAACACAGUGUGUGAUCCCAAGAACCUAAUUAAAUAGUAAGACCAAGUUACUUUAGGGAUAACAGCGUAAUUGCCUCGUAGAGCCCCAAUCGAUGAGGCCGCUUACGACCUCGAUGUUGAAUUGGGAAACCCCUUGAGAGCAGCCCCCCAAGAGGGAAGUCUGUUCGACUUUUAAUUCCCCACGUGAU
This 411-nucleotide ribosomal RNA is filed under the name Excirolana braziliensis. RNAcentral's name for it is "partial 16S ribosomal RNA". It matches the Rfam family "Bacterial large subunit ribosomal RNA", at positions 1961 to 2604 of the family's 2925-position model. The record is from RNAcentral. Lineage: Eukaryota; Metazoa; Arthropoda; Malacostraca; Isopoda; Cirolanidae.